CUUAUCCACUUCUGUAAUAAACAACAAACACGUUGAACUUGCCGAUUCACAUCAGCACCACCAACUAGCGACAGAAACCUGUUACUUAUGCAAAAUGGAGGAACAAAAGAAAAUAUAUUUUAAAUUUAGCACUUACCUUUUGCAGCGUAGCAUUAGUAUACUGGAUAAUUUGUAUACUUCUCCUUCAGCAUCUAACCAACAAUUAUGUUUAUUCAAUAGAGCAGAACAAUUCACAAUUAAUUCUCAAUAACUUUCAAUGAUUCAUCAUGUACCAAAUUUUUUACACUAUCCCUACAUACAGAACUAUUUUGGCUGGAACCAGUGCAAGAGCGUGGAGUUUUGGUUUGCUCUAAUGCAUUGAGUUCACAAAGCUAACCAGAAUCGCAAUCAAAGGAAGUGGUGCCAUAAACAGCAGGGGCCAAGAAUGGUUGAUAUAUUCAGAUCUAAAUGACGAUGAUGACAGCAGCGGCGCUGUAAGACAGACAUCGCCAUCUAAUUACGUCCUAGCUACUUAGACACAGGUGAAAAACAAUUCUAGUUGCUCACCUAGCUAGGUGCUUCUAGCAGUACUAUGUGGAGCUAGAUAGGACGAUGCUGCCACAGACUAAACCACUGGGUAUACAGAUUCUACCUUGAGAUAAGCCAAAGUAUCCACGAGUAAUUCCAGUAGUACAUUUAUGUAGUACUUACAUUAAUGCCUUUAUCACUCUAUAUCUGUUUCUCCUACAAGAAAAGGGUUUGGUAAUAUGAAGAUGCAUGGAAAAAGAAAACAUCAUUAAGGAAGCAUAUGCUAGCUAUUAAUUCUCCAACUUGAACAAGAUAUAAAAUUACCUCACAGUAAUUCCAUAUUGGUUCUAGUGGCGUCUAUAUGCUAAGUGCCAAGCUCUCAUUUGAGUUACAAUGAUCUUAGUUUCCACAA
RNAcentral lists this long non-coding RNA (919 nucleotides) under Zea mays. RNAcentral describes it as "long non-coding RNA (ZMAY_LNC002292)". The record is from RNAcentral. Lineage: Eukaryota; Viridiplantae; Streptophyta; Magnoliopsida; Poales; Poaceae.